GGAGAACAGCAUGGGAUCGCAAGACCUUGCGCUCAUUGAGCGGCCGAUGCCUGAUUAGCUAGUUGGUGAGGUAAAGGCUUACCAAGGCGACGAUCAGUAGCUGGUCUGAGAGGACGACCAGCCACACUGGGACUGAGACACGGCCCAGACUCCUACGGGAGGCAGCAGUGGGGAAUUUUGGACAAUGGGGGAAACCCUGAUCCAGCCAUGCCGCGUGAGUGAAGAAGGCCUUCGGGUUGUAAAGCUCUUUCAGCCGGAACGAAACAGUCACGGAUAAUACCCGUGACUACUGACGGUACCGGAAGAAGAAGCACCGGCUAACUACGUGCCAGCAGCCGCGGUAAUACGUAGGGUGCGAGCGUUAAUCGGAAUUACUGGGCGUAAAGCGUGCGCAGGCGGUUUUGUAAGUCAGAUGUGAAAUCCCCGGGCUUAACCUGGGAACUGCGUUUGAAACUACAAAGCUAGAAGGG
RNAcentral lists this ribosomal RNA (470 nucleotides) under uncultured beta proteobacterium. RNAcentral describes it as "bacterial SSU rRNA". It matches the Rfam family "Bacterial small subunit ribosomal RNA", at positions 198 to 649 of the family's 1533-position model. The record is from RNAcentral. Lineage: Bacteria; Pseudomonadati; Pseudomonadota; Betaproteobacteria.